Piliocolobus tephrosceles (Ugandan red Colobus) is the source of this 5492-nucleotide long non-coding RNA. RefSeq lists it as uncharacterized. The record is from RefSeq and is a predicted model, not a curated record. NCBI's taxonomy places the organism in Eukaryota, Metazoa, Chordata, Mammalia, Primates, Cercopithecidae. The transcript is spliced from 3 exons.
AGGCUGGAGUUGCAAUGUGGCUGAGUGCCUCCAACCAGCCCGACAAAGCGGGGUUCCAGGGGCACAGGAAAGCAGGCUCUGCACUCAGGUGGUCUAUAAGCUGACAAGGAAGUCAAGCCACCAACCCAGGGCUAUGGCACACUGUGGGGCCUUUGAUUACUUAAGAAACGUGAGUCUUCUCAAUAUUAAAGGAGGAGAUUCACGGAAAGAGGUCUCUGAUAACUUUAAGAUCAUACCAUUGGACUGGGUAAACGUUUCCGUAACUCUAAUAAAGAAAUUGAUGGGCUCAUGAAACUACUGACCAAGAUCAAGCAGAACAAAAAUUAAUUACAUGAAACGGAAUAAAAUGAUAAAUAAUAAUUGUGGGUUUUACGGUUUUUAAUUUGACACAUUGCUGGCAUUUUAUUUCUCAGAUUAAAAAAAAAAAACAAAAACCUUUUUCCUUAUAUUAGCUUUCAGCAAUUUGGUAAAGUUAUACUCUUAUGAACAAAAACGAAAUAUUUAUGUUUUCUCCCUACCUAAUCUCUCCAGAAUUCGGAAAUUAUUUGUGACUCUUCUUAUCUUUGCAUUAAUAUCGUUAUUUCCAUUAAGUUCAAUAUGAGUCUGCUGUCAUAACAGAAUAUAGUUGGAAAUACCAGUUUGGCUUCCUAGCUUUGAGAGUCCUUUAAAAGUUCAAUCUGAAAUUUCUUAUCCAAAGUUCCAGCAAAGCAAACUUUGUGAUCAGUCACUAGCGUUACUGGAGCUGUGUAAAUAAUCAGGUCAAAUUUGACGAGACUAAGCUUAUUUUGCAAAAAAAAAUUCACCUUGCUUUGAUUAUCUUUAGUAGAAAUGAGGGUGACUGUAGGGAAAAAACUAUGUUUCAGAAGAAAAACUAUAGCACACCUGUUAUUAGAUUGUAGCCCUGUUCGUUGUUUUUGAGUUUUUACUAUUUGUAGACUGAACUGGAUCCGGAAUUCUUCAACUUUCCUAUUUGGAAACAUCUGGCUACAACUCUCCAAAUACGAACAAGAACUGCUCUGUCCCAGAAGCCCUACAAGCUGGAGCUUGACAACUCCAUGUAUAUUGUGAGGGACAGGUCUCAUACCUGAUAUGUGGGCCACAGAGAGUUCACCCAAACACCAGAUGUUAUACUCACAGACAGUCAAACUGCAAACCAGGACAAGAAGCUGACAACUUCAUGCUGUGGACAGCUUUUCCCAAGACAUCAGAACAAGAUGUUUUAUCAUAAUGAGACUCUGACUCCUCUUGAUUUUUCCUUGCUUAUGCCUACUCUUUUCACUUGGCAGGAUAAUGCUCUAUUGCUGGAAUUGCACAAUCAGUAGCUUCUACAGAGACUUGAUGAAAAAAAUGGAUCUAUCAUGCCAAACCUAGUCAUGGGAUGGUAGGUAACAGAAAUGUUACCUUCUAGCCGAACAGGAAAUAAUCUGCACAGUUGCUAAUGCUUCUUGUUGCACAUGGAUAAACCGAACAAAUAAGCUGCUUGGCUAAAACAGGUAGAUUCCCCAUCUGGCUCAUUAUUUGAUCUAAAUGAUUUCAGUUGGUUUGGUUCAUGGGGACCCUGGCUAAGGGGCAUACUCCAGACUCUUGGUAUUAUCAUCCUCAUAGUCAUUAGCCACAACAGUAGUCUCCCUGGUGCACUGUAUCCUCUCAAAAAAGUCUUAAAUGUGCAUAUGUAGCAUCUGCUGAAUGGUAAAUGUUCUCUCUCUGGCUGGAAUGAUGGAAACUCCAAGAAAUGCAUGAUAAUGAGGACACCCAUGAAUGACGUGUUAAGAUUCAAACCCCAAAAUAAUGAUGACGGAGUAGUGCUGAUGCCCUAAGCUUUGGUCACACUGUCUCCUAGGUGAGAGCAUGACAAAAAGGGAGAAAUUGUUAAAUUAAAUUUAUAGGAAGUCAUUGGUUUGAACUGAGCUCCUGCAAUAAGCCCAAUAGACCAAACCAAAAUGGCGCCACUCACGCUGAAGUUCCAUACCACUAAGCCGAAAUAAGAUUUUUAUCUGACCUUCCGAGAAAUCAGGAGAGAGAGAGAAUAGCCAAAUCCCCAAACAGGUCAGUUGUAGCUAGAUGAUAAGAAAGUUCCCUCUGCUUUAACCUUUAUAAGAAAAGUAACUCUGAAACAACCAACCUGCUUUUUAUCUUCUGUUUCUGCUUUCCUCAGUUCUUUUCUUUCUAUAAAAGCAACCUUUGCUUGGCCCAUCAGAACACUCAAUUCUAUUCAAGUAUUGCCCAAUUCUGGAAUCACAAGUAAGAGCCAAUUCAGGUCUUUACAUUUGUUGUAAUGUUGUCUUUUGACAAUACCUUUUCAAAUCCCAGAUCCCAUCCGUUCCCAAGUCCUCUUGGAGUUUCCAUUAUAUCCAGGGAAUCUGUCCCACUGCCACCACCCUUAUCCAAGCUGCCAUCGUCUGCCUGCAAAUACAAGGUAGCCUAAGAAUUCCAUUCUUGACUUUCCGAGGCGCUCUCGCUCUUGCUCGCUCUCUCUCUCUCUCCUCCCAAACACUUAAUGGCUAUUUAGCUUGAGCUUGAGUUUAAGUGCUCUUAAACUCAAGGCUUUGACAGGCCCUACAAAAUCCAUCUCACCCCCUCUCCCACCUCUGCCUCAGGUCUCUGCCCACUGUUUUCUCACCUAGACAGUAUCCUCUCCCUCCCCAAGGGCCCACCUCACAUUUCACCUAGUUAACUCUGACUUACCCUUCAGAUCCUACUUCUGAUCUUUCAUAGUAUUUACUAGUCUGUAAUUACAGGGCAGGGGCUGGGGGAGGAAUUCUGCCUUUUUCAGUCAGGGUUCCAGCAGAGAAUGAGGCCUAAUACCCUAGGGCAUGCACUGGAUGUACUGAAUGAAUUUCUCUUCCACGCAUCCAGAAAGCAUCAGCUGUGUCACACUCCUGGAAGAGCUGAAGAGCUGAAUAGUCACAGAGUUCUGUAUUGUGUGGUUCAGAUGAGGAAUCCAGGUUUGAAAAGCUUUGUGCCAAAUACUACUUGACACAGAGUAGGUGCUCAAAGGUUUGUUAAAAUGAAACAGAAAUGUAAUCUUGCAAUGACCCCCAAGGCUGGCACGCUCUUGCUUAUUCUGCUCCAGUCACACUAGUCUCGUGCUGUUCCUUCAAUACCUACCAGGUCCCCCUGCCUGGCAUGCCUGUGCCCCAGUUAUCUGCUUGGCCAACUCCCUCACCUUCUCAAGACUUGAUGCAGAUCUCACCUUUCAAUGAGGCCACCCCGGACACCCUCUUUAGCUCUGCAACCUGACCCCACGAUCCCUGGAAUUCCUGAUGCCCCCUUAUCCUCCUUCCUACAGCACUCAUCACCUUCACACUUUCUUUACAUGCAGCUCACUGAUGGAUAAUGUUGAUUGUCUAUUGUGUAUCUUCCCCUACUAGGAAUAUAGGUUUCAUGAGGAGAUCUGGAACCCAAGUGGCUAAAACAAGGCCUGGCACGUGCCCUAUCAAUGUUCAUCAGAUAAAUGCAUGAACGUGCUUCUUCUGAGUUACUACUCUCUCAUAAUUUGGAAGCACACAGAGGCUGCCUGGUUCCAAUUCUGUAGAUUCUUUAGCUCAAAUCCCCGCCAAUGAUUAGAAUGCCUCUCCGUGUCCAGUUUCAAAUUUCUGAGGCAGAACCAAUUGACCCAGCUUGUCUUCCCAAAGCAGGCCACACGAUAGAGGUCAAUGGUAGCUACCCAUGGAUGAGCCAUUUAGUGUAGAAGGGCCUCUCAGCAUAACCGAAAAAGAGCAAAGCCAUCUGAAGCUAUUCAAUGUGGAAGCAAAAGCUCUCCCCAGAUCACAAGCGCACAGCUGUGUUACAGCAGAGGCCACACUGGGUAUCCGUGGAGGCGGGGGCAUAAGGAGUGAGUUGGAUCAAGUUAGAUGUUUAGCCGCCAAUCCUGACCUUAGUGGGGGCUGCUGCCAGGACUGAGUGGUGUACCUCAAUGUCUGGCUCACCCAGAAGAGGUGCAUCACUCCCUCAGGAAACUUAACUUAUAAAUGUCUAUAUGCAGCCAUCUGCUGAAUGGUAAAUGUUCUCUCUCUGGCUGGAAUGAUGGAAACUCCAAGAGAUGCAUGAUAAUGAGAACACCCAUGAAUGACGUGUUCCCAUCUCAUCUUCUCCAUAAACAGAUUUGUGGACAAGUGUAACCAGCAGACACUGAAAUAAAAAAUCAAAGUAACUCUGCAGGCAGGCAGGCAUUCUUUAGAACUCCUCACUGCACCCUGUUUCCUGCUGCGGAUUUUAUAAUGAACUGAAAGGCAGAGUGGCUGACACAAGCUGGAUAGUUCUGGCUCAGGAAGACGUCUCGUGAAGCUGCAGUCACCUGAGGCCUGACUGGGGCUGCAAGAGCUGCUUCCCUUCCCUGUGGGCUGCUAGUUGGAGCCACAGACCCUCACCUGUGGCCUCGCUUCACCACAGGACAGCUGGUCUCCCCCAGGGCAGGGGAUCCAAGAGAGACAGGCUGGCGGAAGCUACAACAUCUUGUACGACUUCUGCUGUAUUCUACUGGUCACAAGACCAGCCCCGAUGCAGAGAGGGAGGGGAUGACACCUGCAUGUGAAUACCAGGAGGCGGGGACCCCUGGACCAUCCUAGAGAAGACAUAUCACACAGUCUGUUCAUGUAGACAAAGGCCUAUUUUUUAAGGGCCCAGAGCUAACAAAAGGUUUUUCCAUCUUAAAGGGCUAUAAAAAGGAAAAUAAAGAAGCAUAUGUGACAGAGACCACAUGUGGCCUGCAAAGCUUAAAAUAUUUACUAUAUGGUCUUUAUAGAAAAAGUCUGAUGACCUCCGAUGUACACUGUACUUUACAGACGAUUUAAGGGAUCUUUCAAGGCUAAUUCUUCCUCUGUGCCAUGUUCUCUUUAUGCUCUGACUUUAGAAUCUAUCUCCCAAGUGAGCAGCUCUACUGAAACAGGUGCUCAGUGAACUGUAGCUCUGAAUAUCAUAGUGGCAAGUGCUAAGAAAUGAACAGCUUAUCAUAACCUGAACAGAAAGAUAAUAAUCAAGGGUUCCUUGUCCAUAAGGUGUCUGAUAAAUACAAACUCAGUGAAUCAAUGACUAAAUGGAUAAGAAAUACUACAAGGAUGCAUCUUGAAAGUACGGAGCUAUCAUGACAAUAAAAACAUCUUUAACCAAUGAUUUACAAUAUAAACACAACAAAAUGUGAAGGUGCUAUAAUAACAACGACAGCUGAAAUUUAUCGAGGGCUAACUCUAUGCCAAGUAUUGUCAAGUGUUCUUGCAUUCAUGCCUCAUACGCUAAGGCAGGUGCCUUCAUUUUACAGAUGAGUAAAUUGAGGCUGACAGAAAUGAAGUAAUUUCCCCAAGAUUACACUGAUACAUAAGUAGCAGGACUAUUUUCUCGCAGCAAGCUACAUAAAAAAGUAAGGAGCAACUCUGCAUCCUGAACGUCAUGCCUGAGAUCAGUUUGCUGAAAGUGCAGCAGAGACAGCAGCCCUCCACUGGCUCUGGCUUCUCCUCCAUCCCUUCUCGCUCCCUCCCUCCCUCACACUCAGCUGG